Molecule: long non-coding RNA, 1672 nt
Filed under: Homo sapiens (human)
Lineage: Eukaryota; Metazoa; Chordata; Mammalia; Primates; Hominidae
Description: HSALNT0253231
Source: RNAcentral
AAUUUUCAAAGAAAAGUACAUUUCCACUCUGGUUGAAAGAAAAUAUAGCGAAUGUUGGGAUAGAGGCAAGAAUUGAAUUUCCUCACUGCUAAGUUGGAUAAUUCUAUAUUAUCAGCCAAUCCAUUGAAGAAAGCUAGAGUUAAAUCUUUAUCCAAAAGGUAAGCUCUCACAUAGGAAGUUAAUGGCUAAUAGUGUGGUAUGGUUUGGCCAUGUCCCCACUCAAAUCUCAUCUUGAAUUCCCACAUGUUGUGGGAGGGACCCAGUGGGAGGUAACUGAAUCAUGGGGGCAGAUUUUCCCGUGCUAUUCUCAUGAUAGUGAAUAAGUCUCAGAAGAUCUGAUGGUUCUAGAAGGAGAAGUUUCCCUGCAUAACCUUUUUUUUUUUUUUUUUUUUUUGCCUGCUGCCAUCCAUGUAAGAUGUAACUUGCUUCUCCUUGCCUUCUGCUAUGAUUGUGGGGCCUCUCCAGCUACAUGGAACUGGUUACUCUGUCAUGAGUUACUGUAAUGGCCUGAGGUGUUUGGCCUCUAGCCAGGAGGUGGCACUUGCAAGAGAGCACCAACUGCAGUAAUAGAAGGGGGAUAUAAGCUUGUGCUAAGUUGGCCAGGAUAUAGAAAUAGGACAGACAAACAGAGUGGGACGAGAAAAUUCCUUCAAGAAUCACAGUUGUUGUGGAUCUCAAGGUGAUGCAGAUUCUGGCACAGAAAGGGAAGCACCAGCCCUGUUCUCUCCAUUCCACAUGGCAGUUCCUUCCUCUCUCAGGGAUGACUGCAGUCUUCUGCCAGGCCUGGGGUUUUCUACUUCUAGCCUGGGAACUAGGAGUAAUAAGCACGACAGAGCGAUCUGCACUUGCGUCGAAGAGCUGCAUUCCGUUCCAGUGGCUUUGGACUAGAAAAUCUCCUUCCCUGUUCAUUCAGCAAGAUGAGGCAAGAGUUGUCCUGGUCAUCCAACAACAUAGGGCAUAAAGGGUCUUCCCAUGUCAUCAUCUGCUGUUAUCUGGUACACUUUCCUCUCAACCUCCGUUCCUGUAGGUACACAUGCAUGACUGGACCUCAUCCCUUCUACCCACAGAACUCAACAGUCGUCUAUUUGAGAACCAGCAGGAGGUCAUAUUCUAUAUGUCCACAUAUGUAUCUGGGGAGACUGGCUGGCUGCAAGGCUUUGUAACCACCUUCCAGGCAGAUGACAAGAUGGAACCUUCUCAACAUACACCUCAGUUAAAAGUCAAGUCAAUAAAAGCCUGGCUGCAUGAAAGAGGAUGAUACAUAAAGACUGGCUGUAUACCUUUGUUUGAUCUGAGUAAGAAAUGCGUGCAUUCAAUGAGGCCACUGAGUUUAUGAUCAAACCUCCUCGUAAAGAAUAGAGCACAGAGAAACCCAUAUUCUUACCGUGUGACAAAUGAGACUGCGAACGUGGACCCUUCUUUAAAACUCCAGCUAAUUCAGGUUGCAGAAUGAAGUGUGCCAUGUCAUAAUUAAUCCCUCAUGUAUUGCAAGCAAUUUAAUGUCAAAAUAAUCAACAGGAGCGUUUUUUACCCUUUUGUGAGUACAUAAUAAAUACUGUCAUUUAGCUGCAGCAAACAUCGGGUUUCUUUCCUGGUCUUUGAAUAACACUCCUCGUGAGGUAAAUACCAGAUCUCCUUCUCCAUCUCCCCACACCCCCAAGCCCUACAAACC